UGAGAGUGGUUGCUUUCUAAAUGAUGGAC
This 29-nucleotide non-coding RNA is filed under the name Mus musculus (house mouse). Lineage: Eukaryota; Metazoa; Chordata; Mammalia; Rodentia; Muridae. The record is from RNAcentral.